RNAcentral lists this long non-coding RNA (1267 nucleotides) under Pavo cristatus (Indian peafowl). RNAcentral's name for it is "lncRNA (ENSPSTG00000016021.1)". Lineage: Eukaryota; Metazoa; Chordata; Aves; Galliformes; Phasianidae. The record is from RNAcentral.
AAUUCAUGGCCAUCUGCCAUAAAAGCCUGAGCUCAUUCUUCUCUUUCAAGCAAAGAAAAAGCUGAGUGCAGCUCUGGAAAAACUUACUUCAUACACUUGGCAAAUUGCUCCUUUAUUUUAUGGGAAAGGAUCCAGGUAAAGAACAGAUGAAGCAGCAUGACCCCUUCCGUGCAGGGGAGGCUAAAGGGGUUUGAGUGAAAACAAAAUAACUCACCAGUCAGUUUUGCUGCUGAGAAUAUUUAUUGGAAUAUCCUCAUGUAUUCUGGCUCCUCUCCAGAUAUAUUUGUUACCUAUGACAACCUAACCCCUGCAAAGUCUCAAAAAGGCAACAUAACACUAUGACCAACAUACUGAAUUCAAAGAAUAAUCCUCUUUACACCUGUAUGGGAACUGUUGAAUCAUGGCCUGAACCUCUGAUUGACCAUCUGAGGCAAGCGUUGAGUCAGCCAUGGGAGCAGAGGUGAAGGCAAUUCACCUGUGUGCCCAGAAGGGGUGGAGCCAGGCUCCACCUCUCCUAGACCCCAUUUAAGGGCUGACUGCCACUGAGGAAGGAUCUCUUCCUGGAGAUCGCUCCUUGCGGAGUUCCUUUGCAAGCCUACAACGCUGGUGAGCACCUUUUCUUUAUAUUUAACUAUUCUUACCAGCCUAACUUAUCUGUAUACCUGUUAACCUUACGACACCUCAAUUAAGGUACGCUGGCAUUUAGGUAACAAAACUCUUAAGACUGAUAUGCAUCCUGCUGAGUCACAUAUGGUUCCAUUUUAGCUGGUCUUUUCCAGGGUUAAGAAGAGGACACUGUUUGAGGACUGUUUAGGUUGCAAAAGGGCAAAUGACCAAAGAGUUCUGGGAAUCUUCCUAAAGUCAGCCUACUGUCAGACACAAAAGAAAGUAUGAAGCAGCACAGUUUCCCAUACUGUCUCAGGAAAUAUGAACUCACUCCUAGUAAGCCAAGACUCAAAAGCACCAUACAGGUUGCAAGAGGAGUAAGAACACUGCCUACAACGUGAGACUUCAAGAACUCCAGGAGAUCAAUCUACUUUUUGAUUUUUACUCCUUAGGAAUCACUGCAAUUAUUACCGAUACUCUUCAUGCUCUGACAGCACUCUUUUCUCAGCCCCGUAACUCAUCUGGUCAUUUCUCUUCUGUACUCCCAGACACUAGUCAGGGAUACUACGAAGCCAGUCAUCAACACUGUGAACAAAGAAAGCUCAAUUUUGGAGCCCUAACCCUCAAUCAGCUUCUUGAGAACUUACACAAGCAUGGAAUA